UGUCACAGCCAUGUCACCCUGCAGCCCAAGACCCGUUACUCACUGAAGCUAAGCAGGGCUGAGCCUGGUCAGUACCUGUAUGGGAGACCACUAGGGAACACUAUUGCUGUUGGAA
This is a ribosomal RNA of Danio rerio (zebrafish), 115 nucleotides long. NCBI's taxonomy places the organism in Eukaryota, Metazoa, Chordata, Actinopteri, Cypriniformes, Danionidae. The record is from Ensembl.